This 337-nucleotide unclassified non-coding RNA is filed under the name soil metagenome. RNAcentral describes it as "partial contains 5.8S ribosomal RNA, internal transcribed spacer 2, and large subunit ribosomal RNA". The stretch from base 1 to 120 matches the Rfam family "5.8S ribosomal RNA", at positions 35 to 154 of the family's 154-position model. The record is from RNAcentral.
GAUGAAGAACGCAGCGAAAUGCGAUAAGUAGUGUGAAUUGCAGAAUUCAGUGAAUCAUCGAAUCUUUGAACGCACAUUGCGCCCCUUGGUAUUCCAUGGGGAAUGCCUGUUCGAGCGUCAUUUGUACCUUCAAGCUCUGCUUGGUGUUGGGUGUUUGUCUCGCCUCUGCGUGUAGACUCGCCUCAAAACAAUUGGCAGCCGGCGUAUUGAUUUCGGAGCGCAGUACAUCUCGCGCUUUGCACUCAUAACGACGACGUCCAAAAGUACAUUUUUACACUCUUGACCUCGGAUCAGGUAGGGAUACCCGCUGAACUUAAGCAUAUCAAUAAGCGGAGGA